UACGAAGGGGGCUAGCGUUGCUCGGAAUCACUGGGCGUAAAGGGUGCGUAGGCGGGUCUUUAAGUCAGGGGUGAAAUCCUGGAGCUCAACUCCAGAACUGCCUUUGAUACUGAAGAUCUUGAGUUCGGGAGAGGUGAGUGGAACUGCGAGUGUAGAGGUGAAAUUCGUAGAUAUUCGCAAGAACACCAAUGGCGAAGGCGGCUCACUGGCCCGGUACUGACGCUGAGGUGCGAAAGCGUGGGGAGCAAACAGG
RNAcentral lists this ribosomal RNA (253 nucleotides) under uncultured bacterium. RNAcentral's name for it is "partial 16S ribosomal RNA". It matches the Rfam family "Bacterial small subunit ribosomal RNA", at positions 524 to 776 of the family's 1533-position model. The record is from RNAcentral.